CUGAAGUUUUAUAAAAUGCACAGGAAGAUGGAGGAUUACAAAGCGCUGUUGAUUUUAUUGUUUGUGUGUUUGGCGUCAUUUAAUGGUGCACAACGCUAUCUGCCUAGCAACCUUACAUCUGUGUACGUGGCUGAUGGCACAAUCAGGGUUUCAUGGGAUCCUCCUACCACACCGGGGAGAAGUGAUGGGUAUUCCGUCGCAGUCCUGGAGACAGGUGAAUAUGGCUAUGUAUCAACGGAUCACUGUGUUUACCAGUACAACAACACCAGACCGGCAACAACAUACAGCUUCGAACUGACCACAAUUAUAUCAGCUACAACCAGAGUUACAUCUCAGACCACCAUCACCACUCCAACUGCCAUAUAUAGACAAAGAAGUACAGGGACACAACUGAUGCUUCCAAAGCCCCCUGGUGGUCUAUCAUCCAUUAUAUUUAACGGUCGGACACUUUUCGCUUUCUUCGACAAUGAUAACAUUGGUGGUAACAAUAGAACUGAGUAUGGUGUAACAGUCAGAGUGACGUCAACAAAAACAGAACUGACCUUUGAUCGCCUGAAAACAGAGCAUGCUGGGUACUACUACACCAUGCAACAGAGUGGAAAUAUAAUCCUUGGAGGGCAAAUGUUAGUAGUAACUGACACACCCACUCGGCCAAACAUUACCCUUUCAAAUUCUUCGCCUGUUCUCAACACAUCAGUGAGAUUGGUAUGCUCUUCAGCUUCUCGAAGUCAACCGGACAAUCAUGGACUGGUUUUAACAGCCUCCUGGAAAUUGAAUGGUAGUGCAUUAAACCAUGCCAGAUUCUCAGUCAAUGAUUCAAGUCUCACUAUCAAUGCCGUACGAUUCAGAGACAAAUAUAAUGUCUACGCAUGUGUGGCUCACGAGACAGGACAGGGAGUAAGUGGAUUGACCUCAGAGGAAAGUGGAGCAUUCACGCUAACACCACGCUAUGGACCACAGUUUAUUACGAUAGAGAGCACUGAGGGUAAAUCUUCAGUGAUCAGAGGAGAUGUCUACGGUCCUGUGGUCUGUAGAACCGACUGCAACCCUGCUUGUUUAAUGGAGUGGCGGAGACAAGGCAUCCCAUUCAUUCCAUCACGUAGGGAUUCCAGUAAUGAACUAGAGUUGGUGGACGCCUCACUCCCGAGAGUAAGGGAGGUAACUUAUGCUUGUCAAGUACAAGUGGCACCAUCUGCAGGUUUUACCACACCGACACUAGAAAAGAACAUAACAGUUAUUGUUUAUUAUAGACCACAGUUUGUUACGAUAGAGAGCAAUGAGGAUAAAUCUCCAGCGAUCAGAGGAGAUGUCUACGGUACUGUGUCCUGUAGAACCGACUGCAACCCUUCUUGUUUAAUGGAGUGGCGGAGACAAGGCAUCCCAUUCAUUCCAUCAUGUAGGGAUUCCAGUAAUGAACUAGAGUUGGUGGACCCCUCACUCCCGAGAGUAAGGGAGGUAACUUAUACAUGUCAAGUAGAAGUGGCACCAUUUGCAGGUUUUACUGCACCGACACUAGAAAAGAACAUAACAGUUAUUGUUUAUUUCGCACCCCAAAUCACGGAAUUGAGGUAUCGGGACGGUGUUGAUAACCAGUACAUGCACAUUGGCAGUAAUGAAGUCAGAUACACAGAAGGUUCCAGCUUGGAACUCCGUGUUGAUGUUGACAGUAGCCCACUGGCUGACGUCACCCUGUUACGUAACCAGACAACGCUCGUAGUCGGCGUACCUGUCAGUACUGGAAUAUAUGAAAUUAAAUUACACAACCUCCAGUGCAACCAUACGGGAAAGUAUGACGUCUGGGCGGACAACUUCGUUACUCGGAAUAGAAGUACCGCCAACGCCCCGAGAAUGCAGUUUGGACUUCAAGUCAGUUGCGCCCCACGGAUAUAUAAUACUACGAAUACCAUUAUUAGUAUAACAGGGGAAAGGGGUCAGAUAGUUGUACUCAAUGUAACUGUGAUCGCCAACCCAAUGCCCACGAUUCAAUGGUCUGACGAAGUGAGAGCACUUGGUGUGGUACAAAACAACGAUAAUAUGUAUACUGUCACGGGGUUGGUCAGGAUCACGACGCAAUCUGAUUUCCAGAAGUGCUACCUUAAUGUCACGAAUACUUUACCGGAAGUAUUAACUGUCCUCUUCCAGAUCAGCCUUGAAGAGAUUCCGCAGAAGCCUUACACACAGUUAAACCUGAUUAUCUGUUUAGUGUCAAUCGGUGUAGUUGUCCUGGUUUAUGUUGUGGUCAUCGCCGUCUUGGGCAUGAAACGGAGACAACGUCAACAAGAUCAAACUGAUGCCAGCCUCAACCAAAACACCCAAGGCAACACCACCAGCCUCGAACUCCAAAGCAUAGCUACCACCCAUGGACGACGUAUCAAUGGCGACGACGAGCAGGAGCAUGCUUAUGUCAACGUUGACGAUGGCAUCCAAUCCAAUCACGAGCUCCAAAGUCAGGAUGACAACGAGUAUAUAGAGAUUAAUCCACCCAGAGGUAAAACUGAUGCCAAACUCAGCCAAAACACCCAAGGCAACACCACCAGCCUCGAACUCCAAAGCAGAGCUACCAUCCAUGGACGACGUAACAAUGGAGACGAAGGCCUGAUUCAAGGACCAAAAGGGAUCAAACUGACCAAAUAUCAACAACUAAUCCCCAACACCAAAAGCAGUUUAAAAGUAAACAUUGUUGAUGGAUGGAAAGGUGGUGCUAUUCACAAUGAUGAUAACAGCAAGCAUACUUAUUUGGAACUAACUGGAGAUGAUAACAAUGCAUAUAUGGAGAUGAAACCACCCGAAGGUGACGCUUCUCAAAAUGAUGAAACAGACAAAUACAUUGAUUUGGAACAAACUAGAGGUGGCGCUUCUCGAAAAGAUGAUAAAAACAAAUACAUUAAUUUAGAACAAACUGGAGGUGGCGCUUUUCGAAAAGAUGAUAAAAGCAAAUACAUUAAUUUAGAACAAACUGGAGGUGGCGCUUCUCGAAAAGAUGAUAAAAACAAAUACAUUAAUUUAGAACAAACUGGAGGUGGCGUUUCUCGAAAAGAUGAUAAAAACAAAUACAUUAAUUUAGAACAAACUGGAGGUGGCGCUUCUCGAAGUGAUGAAAAAAACAAAUACAUUAAAUUGGAACAAACUGGAGGCCAGGAGCAUGUGUACGAUACGACUCAUCCUGAACAUCGUGACAGUGGCGCAAUCGGUGAACGCAAAGGCAGGGCUAGCAAGGAUAAAAAACGAAGACAUACUCCUCAACAGUGACGUGAAGAAAGAGCCUUUUCCCGACGGGAGAAAUGGUGUCAUUUCCAGGACAAAUGAUAGAACAAAAUGUGUCUUUGUUAACUUCCCACAGACUGCUUCUAACUGAAUCUAAAACGAUAAAGAAUGACAAAGGAAAUGUGUGCAGUUUGUUGAAGGAUCGAGAGGGCUUUCACGUUUUGAAUUUGACCUAGUCAUGCAUGGCGUAUGUUGAUGAUAAAGCAGAGAACGCUUUAUCUUCCGGAACACCAACUCAUUUGUUUCAUCGAUUUGGUUUGCUAUUAAACGUUGCGUUUACACUUCAUUACUUCCCUUACUUUAUCCAUCAAUAAUCUUUCUGGUGAGAUAUUAGCUAAUUAUUAUAAUAUUUCACUUUGCAUUUUUUCAUACAUAUUUGAUAGAGUUGUUUUUGUAAAACUAUUUAUUUAAGAGUUUGUUUGAUUGUAUUUUUUUAAUGAACGUCAGUGGGAUUGUAAAGGACUUAGGGCGUUAUGGACCAUUUACCGCCUCAUGAUUUUUUUUCAUAAAAAUCCACUUGAAUUUAUCGAACAAUUUCUUUUAUAAACAUUGUAUUUGUUUAGGAUGUACUUUUCUGAGGUUCAAACACCUUCAAGUCUGGUUUUGAUCUCUUGUAAGGGGUAAAUGAAGUAAUAAAUAAAGUAUGAUUUAUUUAAAUAGCAAACAUUAAUAGCGGCCAUUUUAAAAAUGUGUAUUUCUGUGUAUUUCUUGCGCGUCACGAAAAGCCAAAAUGUCACUCUUUUUACUCUAGAUAGAUCACUUAAUUGUCAGUGUGUCGCAAUUUCAGAUUGUCCUUUUUCGCUGUACAACUUUAUUAUGUUCAGUAUAAUGAAAACAAUAUGCAACAAAGGGGAAAUUUAUAAAUGUUUGGUAACCUACAUUCUUUUGAUUCGCUAAAUAUUUAAAAAAAAUAUUUUUGCUCUUAGCAGUCAGCUGAUCGAAGGUCAAGGUCAGAUUUUGUAUCUUUUAACUCCUUAACAUUUUGUUAUGACAUUAUGAAGCAAAGUUGGUCGGAAUCAAACAAGGUUUCAAUUGACUAAUGAUUAAGGUUAUUGAGUCAAAUGUCAAGGUCAAAUUUUACAUCCCUCAACUGGUUAACAUUUUGUUAUGACAUUAUGAAGCAAAGUUGGUAAGAAUCAAACAAGGUGUUAAGUGACUAAAUCUGUAGUUCGUUCAGUCUUAAUGUAAAAUAUUUAAAACAUAACUUUGCAAAUUGUAUGUUGAUGGGAACAUCAUAUUUCAAUUAAAAUUGCAUGGUGUACAAGAAAGAAAGACCAGUGUACCAGUUUUGGCGGUUAGCCAAUUGAAGACAUACUUAAUACGACUUCUGUGUUCAUUAGGGGCCCGUAUCGAAGAUACGGGUGCCCUAUAGUAAUCACUCUGUCUGUCCGUCUGUCCGUCCGUCUGUCUGUCGGUCCACACAUUUUGUUCCUGACUAAUAACUUGUUGAUGUUCAGUUCACAAAAAUACACAUUGAUGGAAAAAGUCAAGGACAAAGGUCAAAGUCAUUAGGUUCAAA
Mizuhopecten yessoensis (Yesso scallop) is the source of this 4783-nucleotide RNA transcript. RefSeq lists it as uncharacterized. NCBI's taxonomy places the organism in Eukaryota, Metazoa, Mollusca, Bivalvia, Pectinida, Pectinidae. The transcript is spliced from 25 exons. The record is from RefSeq and is a predicted model, not a curated record.